RNAcentral lists this ribosomal RNA (263 nucleotides) under uncultured Sphingomonadales bacterium. RNAcentral's name for it is "partial 16S ribosomal RNA". It matches the Rfam family "Bacterial small subunit ribosomal RNA", at positions 524 to 785 of the family's 1533-position model. Lineage: Bacteria; Pseudomonadati; Pseudomonadota; Alphaproteobacteria; Sphingomonadales. The record is from RNAcentral.
UACGGAGGGAGCUAGCGUUGUUCGGAAUUACUGGGCGUAAAGCGCACGUAGGCGGCUUUGUAAGUUAGAGGUGAUAGCCUGGAGCUCAACUCCAGAAUUGCCUUUAAGACUGCAUCGCUUGAAUCCAGGAGAGGUGAGUGGAAUUCCGAGUGUAGAGGUGAAAUUCGUAGAUAUUCGGAAGAACACCAGUGGCGAAGGCGUCUCACNUGGACUGGUAUUGGCGCUGAGGUGCGAAAGCGUGGGGAGCAAACAGGAUUAGAUAC